GGUGAGGUGCGUGAGUGGUUUAAACGGACAGUCUUGAAAACUGUUGAGGAUGCAAGUCCUCCGUGGGUUCGAAUCCCACCCUCACCGCCA
RNAcentral lists this transfer RNA (90 nucleotides) under bacterium. Its description in RNAcentral is "tRNA-Ser". It matches the Rfam family "tRNA". Rfam says of the family: Transfer RNA (tRNA) molecules are approximately 80 nucleotides in length. The record is from RNAcentral.